UACGAAGGGGGCUAGCGUUGCUCGGAAUCACUGGGCGUAAAGCGCACGUAGGCGGCUUGUUAAGUCAGGGGUGAAAUCCUGGAGCUCAACUCCAGAACUGCCUUUGAUACUGGCGAGCUUGAGUUCGGGAGAGGUGAGUGGAACUGCGAGUGUAGAGGUGAAAUUCGUAGAUAUUAGGAAGAACACCAGUGGCGAAGGCGGCUCACUGGCUCGGUACUGACGCUGAGGCGCGAAAGCGUGGGGAGCAAACAGG
RNAcentral lists this ribosomal RNA (253 nucleotides) under uncultured bacterium. RNAcentral describes it as "partial 16S ribosomal RNA". It matches the Rfam family "Bacterial small subunit ribosomal RNA", at positions 524 to 776 of the family's 1533-position model. The record is from RNAcentral.